AUUGGAGCACCGGUGAAACCCCAAGGAGGUCAUCUAGGAUUCGUGAGAAAGUGAAGACUGUGGUGCAACCAGAACCUCAACCCCCGAAGAAGCGAACUAGGAAGUCAGUAGGCUUGAAGAAGCAUGACACCGAAUCUCCUGAAGAAAACAAGAAGGAUACUGAUGUUGUGAUGCCAGAUGUGGAAGAUGCCACCAAAGAAAAUGUUGUAGAUGCUAAAGAUGUUACUGCUGAAAAUGAUCAAGCUGUGAAAGUAGUAG
RNAcentral lists this unclassified non-coding RNA (258 nucleotides) under Hevea brasiliensis (rubber tree). Lineage: Eukaryota; Viridiplantae; Streptophyta; Magnoliopsida; Malpighiales; Euphorbiaceae. The record is from RNAcentral.